RNAcentral lists this ribosomal RNA (405 nucleotides) under Caulobacter vibrioides. Its description in RNAcentral is "partial 16S ribosomal RNA". It matches the Rfam family "Bacterial small subunit ribosomal RNA", at positions 355 to 774 of the family's 1533-position model. The record is from RNAcentral. Lineage: Bacteria; Pseudomonadati; Pseudomonadota; Alphaproteobacteria; Caulobacterales; Caulobacteraceae. RNAcentral also lists the same sequence under 1 other name.
UGGGGAAUUUUCCGCAAUGGGCGAAAGCCUGACGGAGCCAGACCGCGUGAGGGAAGAAGGCUCUAGGGUUGUAAACCUCUUUUAUCAGGGAAGAAGAAAGUGACGGUACCUGAAGAAAAAGCCUCGGCUAACUCCGUGCCAGCAGCCGCGGUAAGACGGAGGAGGCAAGCGUUAUCCGGAAUGAUUGGGCGUAAAGAGUCCGUAGGUGGAACUUCAAGUCUAUUGUUAAAGAGCAAAGCUUAACUUUGUAAAGGCAGUGGAAACUGAAGAACUAGAGAGGGGCAGGGGCAAAGGGAAUUCCUGGUGUAGCGGUGAAAUGCGUAGAGAUCAGGAAGAACACCGGUGGCGAAAGCGCUUUGCUGGGCCCAUUCUGACACUGAGGGACGAAAGCUAGGGGAGCGAAUG